AGAAACUAAAAACAAAAAACUACGUCUAAAACCAGUAAACAAAUUGCUUUAUAUAGUGUAGCUCACUAUAAUAUAGGUAGACAUCUUUCAAGGUGAGUUUUGGAUCAGCACACAUACAACCAGGUGAAUUUUGGAUCACCCUAGCACAUAUUGAAGUUAAACGUUUGAGUAAUCUGUUGCCCUAAUCUGGUCGAAGAGCACACCUACAACUAGGUGAGUUUUGGAUCACUCUAGCACAUAUUCAAGUUAAAUGUUUGAGUAAUCUAUUGUCCUAAUCUUGUUGAGGAGCAUUUUUUUUUAUUUAGAGAUAUUCUUUUCCAUUUGUAUGAGUACUCCGCCGCCCUGGUUGAAGCCACACUUUUCUUUCUUCAUUCUUCUUUUAGAAGAGCGAAACCAGCCAAACCAUAGGUAGAACUUUUAACCCUUCAGGUCCAUCAGCUAAACAAUAAUUCCAAUCUUUAACCCCUCAUGUAUACAAGUCAAACCAUAAGUCCAAGCCUAACAAUAAUUUCAAUCUUUUAAUUCCUUCAUAUACAGAAGCCAAACCAUAAGUCCAGGUUUGACAAAUACGUUAUGUUGUUGAUGCUAACCAUAUUCAACCCUUCACUGUCCCCAUGGAAAAAACUCCACUAAUUCACCUGUAACACAAAGGAAAAACUCCACUAAAACUCUAUUAAUUCAGCUGAAAACAUAUUAGCCCAACUAAUUCAGCCGAAAACAUAUUUUUCUCCGAGAUAUAUUAGGUAGAGUUUACCAAAAACAAUAAAUGCCUUGAUGUAGGAACCUUCUCAAUCAAUGCAUUGCAGUACAUGACCAACAUAAUCAAUAAAAAUUUCGAAAACAACAUUUUUGAAAAGCUUACAAUGGUUAAUUACCACUUAUGACGGGGAAGCAAUUAGCAUGACUAACAAAAACUAACAUGUCAAAUAGAUAAAAAAAACUCCAAAGAAUCAAACAUUUCAGACAAAAGAAAUUGAACCAAACAAACACGAAGUACCAACAAUAUGUGUAUCAAAAAAAGUAUAGUAAUAGCCAAUAAAGUAGUCAUCAAUUGUUACUAGUAUCCUCACGGAAAUUCAAGAACUACUAUGUAAAUUUACAGGCACGUGUCAUUAAAACAAAGGUUGAGGGUUUAUUAGCAGCACGGGCAACUCAGUCUAGACUUGACCAACCCAACUCGAAAUUCUAUCGGUCUUUUUUAAACCGGUCCGGGCUUGGCUGGAAGCCCAAAAAAUUCAGCUUGAAAUCAGCCUGAAUUCUAAGACCGGCCCCAAGGCCUGCACCCAGCCCAGAUCGCAAUCCUAAAUAUUAUAGUACUAAUUGAUUUAGAUAUAUGUGUUUAUCAUUGAUUUCACAUUCACGAUUAUUUCUUUGUCGCUAGGUAUUUUACGAUAGGCAUCUAAUCAAACCAAAAUAUAAUCGCCAUAUUUAAUAAUCUAAAACAAAUUAAUAAUAAUCUAAUUCAAAACAAACAUGCAUUAACGAUGUCAUGUUUCCUACCUUGCUUAUAUCAAGAAUAACUCAAAUUAUUUCUUUUAUCAAGAUUAUCGGAAGGAGAAGACUAAGUAGGAUUUGUUUGUAAAAAUCACUAAACAUAAUAGCUUGUUGUUGAAGAAAAUCACCAGAAUUAGCUAGAAAUCGGGUUUGAGUUAAGACAGCUACUGGGUUUUCAUAACACUACAUCUCAAAUUCCAUUCUUAUGUGACCUUUAAAAAAAAGAUCACGACAUGUUGGGUAUCUUUUUGGAGCUAGUAGAUGGAGGUAAGAACAUAUCUUCUUGAAAAACUUGGAGCUAGUAGAUAGAGGUACAAAUAUCUUCAUAGUAGAUGCAAUAAGACAGAGGCAAGUUACUUUCUCCCAUUUUACUACAUAUACAAAUGUUUGGGGAAUAUACUAGGUUUCGGGAAUACCUAUUCAAUACUUUAUCACAUCUUAUAUAGGAUGAGGUUUCUAUAGGACCUAGGUUUUAUGAAAACAAAACAAAACCUCACCUCAAAUCUUAGUCUGGAGAGUACUUUUAGCGAUGGAAAUAUUUAUGAUGACUCUAAAAUCAAUUUCCGACACCAACAAUAAAACUUGAAACUUAAAAAAAUAGUACAGAUCUUACGGAUCUGUGAACACUUAUCUUUAAAGCAAAAUGGACGGUCUACAUAACUUGUUACCAUAUACACUAUUUUUAGAGCUUGAAAUCCUAUGUUUUUCCACAACCAUAAUGUUCAAGUCGAGAUGAUCGAUGUAAAGGUUUUCCAAUGCUUGAGUUGCAAUUUUCAAUGAGUUAUAAAGUGGGGAUUUACUUGUUUUGAUAGGGCUGUGACCCUAUCAAUCUGUUUUCUUUUUAUAUAUAUACAAUACUUUAUCCCAUUUUACAUAUAUACUUCAACAGAUGGAGGUACAAAUAUCUUCAUGAAACUAGUAGAUGUAGUGAGAUAGAGUUAGGGAAGCGGUAUGUUUAUGGAAUACCUCUUAAAUACUUUAUCCCAUUCCACAUAUAUUUAACGUGAUACCUUAGCUUAGAGGGAGGAGGUCAUCUUAUUCAUGUAGUUCAAUAUAAUGUUUUAGAUUGAGACAGAGGAUACAUGUAUGGAACUACUUUGAGAUAGAGGAUACAUGUAUAGAACUAUGUUUCUUUUGGGGUAAUUCAGCAUAAUACUUAAACUUUGAGAUAGAGGAUAUACAUGUAUGGAACUAUGUUUCAGGGAAGGGUAUAUUUAUGGAAUGAAAAAUUGUUUCAUGUGGGCUAAACCACAUUUCUACCUACACAGUUCCAAAGUAUAAAGCAUCCAUCUUAAAUAUGGAUACAAAUAUAUGGUCCAGCUAAAAACUAUUGAAACUAAUGGUCCAAAUGUUUUCUUAAUAGAAUUAUUAUUUUAAAUUUUUAAAAUUUAUUUAUUUAUUCAUAUUCAUGAUCUCCAUGCUAGAGAUUACAAGUCCUUAAAAUAUUAAGUCCAAAAAUCUAUCUCAAAAAUAGAUUUUUAAGAGGUGACUCAUUUCUACGUGGACUCAUAGAUAUCGUGUCCUUAUGGAAUGCCUCUUGAAUACUUUAUCUUAUACAUACAUGGAACCUUUUUCUCUCUUUUUUUGGGGAGUUAAGUGAUAAGAAUUCAACUUGAGAGGUAGACGUCAAUGUUAACCACUCAAGCCCAAGCCCAAUUCCUACAUGUUUCUACAUUGAAAAAGACAAUAUAUAACCAAAAUCUCCACACCUUUCAUAUCCUUUAUUAAAAUCUCCACACCUUUCAUAUCCUUUACUUUUUUAAUAAUAAAACUCAGUAAUUGAGAAAGAAACAAGUAUUUUAUAAUAUGUAAAAUAAUAAAUGAAUAAAUUAAAAGAAAUUCUUAUAAUUUGUGCUCUAUUACUUAGUAAACUCUCAUGCUUUUAUCGAAUCUCCAACGAACCAAUGCUAGGUCGAUAAUUUAUAAUACCUAAUUUACAAGGAUGGAAAUAUUAGUUACCAUAGAGCAUUUAAUAAGUAUUUUUCUUCUUCAUUUGUUCGAUCCUUAAAUUGUACUUGUCAGAUGCACAUGCUUAUAUAAAUGCAUUGGGCAUUGCAAGAAACUACAAUAUUUAUUUCAUCUUAAAAUGCAAAAAAUUACUUCUAGAUAGAACAUGAGCCUAAACCAAUCCUUUAGAAAAUUUCCUCUACUUUCAUCACAAUAAAACAUGACUUUUAAAAAGCAUAUUUAAGAAAAUGAAAAAGAGAUCCAACUAUCACAAAUAAUGUAAUGCAAAUUCUAAGAAAAAUAAUUAGUAAUCAAUAAGAAGUUAUGCAGCAUAAUCAUUAAAACAAAAAGAAAACUACAAGAUCGUAAUAAAAAAUUAGUAAAAAAAUACUCAAACAAUAUACCUCUUCAAUUACCUCCAAUGCCCUAAUAUAUUUGUAUGUAUUAACCAACUUUUUAGUUUACUAACCAAACUUACUCGAAGUUUUCUAGUUUGUAGAAGUUAUUUAGAGAAAGAGAAUUGUAAGGUGUUUAUAACAUAAAAAGGAGGUCAUUUCAACUUCUU
Molecule: long non-coding RNA, 4006 nt
Filed under: Amborella trichopoda
Lineage: Eukaryota; Viridiplantae; Streptophyta; Magnoliopsida; Amborellales; Amborellaceae
Description: long non-coding RNA (ATRI_LNC005385)
Source: RNAcentral